GAGAGGAGAGGAGGGGGGAGGAGAGGAGAGAGAGAGAGAGAGAGAGAGAGACAGAGAGAGACAGAGAGAGACAGAGAGAGACAGAGAGAGACAGAGAGAGACAGAGAGAGACAGAGAGAGACAGAGAGACAGACAGAGAGAGAGAGACAGAGAGAGAGACAGAGAGAGAGACAGAGAGAGAGAGAGAGAGAGAGAGAGAGAGCGAGCACUUUUCUGAAUUUUUUGUUUUGUAGGGGUCAUUUCAGUAGACAGGUUUAUGCAAAUUCUGAGAACGCCGGAGGGAGGUGGAAACGCAGGAGCCAAAGCCACCGCCCAUAAAAACACACCCUCUGAGUUUCCUUUCAGUUCGGGUGUAGGUAGAUAGUCACCUGCCCACUCAUUCAACUACGGACAUUUAUUUGCUGGAUCCCGU
Molecule: long non-coding RNA, 412 nt
Filed under: Rattus norvegicus (Norway rat)
Lineage: Eukaryota; Metazoa; Chordata; Mammalia; Rodentia; Muridae
Description: long non-coding RNA NONRATT002012
Source: RNAcentral